RNAcentral lists this unclassified non-coding RNA (225 nucleotides) under uncultured Boletaceae. Its description in RNAcentral is "sequence contains ITS1". Lineage: Eukaryota; Fungi; Basidiomycota; Agaricomycetes; Boletales; Boletaceae. The record is from RNAcentral.
UUGAGAUAACGUGUGGAAGGCUCGUUGCUGGCCAGUUAGUUCGGGCAUGUGCACGUCUUCCAGCAAACAAUUACACACUUGUGCACCAAUGGUAGAGAAUCUCUCGCAAGAGGGAGGAUCUAUGUUUUAUAUAUCACACCAACGUAUGUCUAUAGAAUGUCUAUCGAUGGCCUUACCGAACGGAGGGUGAUUCCUCUCUAAUAGGGGGCUUGAAAUAAUAUUAUA